GUUUCCGAUAGACCCUUGGCUCAACUAAAGCAUUUCAAAGUAGGUUUGAAAAUGAAAUACGGUCGUGAAGAAACCAUAUAUUGGAAGAGCUAUAAAUCCCUUGUUUGAGCUUCACAAAAUAUAGUCGCUCCCAAGUUCAGAUGAAGGAGAAGAGUUGCAUUAAUUUGAUGACUAACAUGAAAGUUGUUUAACUAUGAUGAAUCUUCUGAAUAAUGGAAUGAAAUGCAACGGAAUAGAGGGGAAUGGACAUAGAGGAUAAUUCUAAAUAAUUUAGAGCUUCUAGAGGAUUGACAGAGAAACCAGAUGUUUACCUAUAGGAGGUCAAUUUCUUUUUAUCAACUAUGGCUUGUCUUUGUAAAAGGUGAAUUGUUCCUCAAAUUGUUUACGCGUGAGGUAAUUACCAGAUUUUAGUUUUGCCUCAAUACUUGUCAGGUUUGGCGUAUUACUCAGAACUCACAGCUGUUGGGCUAAACUUGAUUUAGGUAUACACAAGAAACUUUUAGAAAACCACACUGUUCAAGAUCAUCAAAAGUUGGGCCCUAAUGAUAGACAUCAGAUUGCGGAGAAAAUAAUAUGUAGCUUCCAGAAUGAAACUUCUUGUAGAUUUUGAGAUUGGAAGAAAUCAUUUCAACUUGCUAGAGUAGCUUUGAAUUCAACUUAAUAUGAUUUAUUUGUUAAUACCUCUUGUCCUGGCAUAUUACUUGUAAGUACAAGAUAUUAUUCUCUUUAAAUGCAAUUAAUAAUUGAAUUAUUUUAACUUCCUAAGCAACUUUUACUUGGAAUAUGAUUUGUUGGCUAACAGAUCAAUUGUUUUUCUAAAUUGUAUAUAAAUAAACUGCAUGACAGCGCUUCAGAAUAGGGAAUGGGGAGCAUAUUUUGUUAGAAAAGUGGAUAGGAGAUAUGGUUACCAAAAAAAAAAAAGUUGAUAGGAAAUAACAGCCUGAAGGAGGAGGAGUUCCUCAGAUCUUUUUUCAAGCAGUUCCAAUGCUAAUCUUAGUCAGCUAGGAGACGGGGGACUGUUGGAAAAUUUCUUUUAGAAGGCCUGCCAAGAUUGGGAAGUUGCAAGUAUUGUCCUAAAUUCAUAGUGCCCAGUUUCAGCUACAAGAGGCACUAUUUACAGUGUGGAGACAGAAAGCAAACUAGCCUGCUUCAACUGGUUGGAUAUUGUAAAGAAUGGAUCUUGGGCCGAAUUCAACCUCAAAAGCUAGAUCAUGAGGGGAGGAUUGUCCAAGUCCAUAUAAGGAGACCAAUUAUCCAUCCCUAUUCUGAUGUGGGAUACUUAACAGAUAUCAUGGGCCACGUCUAACUCAAGAUAACCUAAGGGAAAGAGGGUCACUUAUCAAGAAUCAGCUCAUAACUCAUAGAUUGCUUUGCUAGCGGUCUUGGAUGCAUUGCGCGAGUUUCCUUGUUCAAAUAUGUUUGUUUUUGGUAUUGGGGCACUGACACAGUUUGUUGAACGUCUGAUUGAAUGGCCCUAUUACUGCAGUCGUAUCGUGAAAGUAUAUCGUCUGCGUACAGAUCAUCCGGAGCUUGUUGAGUUCAUUGAACAGGAUGUUGCCAGGACUUCACAGGCACAUGCAGGCCAUUGUCCUGCUGUAGAUGCAGGACAUGAAGCAGAAGCUCGCUUGUAUUUCCAUCAAAUGUUCUCUGGUCAGCUGACUAAUGAUGCAAUGAUUGAAAUGCUUGCUCACUUUAAAGGAUCAACUGAUAACAGGGAACGAGCAAUUUUCCGGUGCAUGAUUGUUAUGCUGUUCGGUGAAUUCAAACUGGUGUUGGCGCAGUUUGUUGACCGUCUGAUUGAAUGGUCACAAUACUGCAUUCGGAUCGUGCAAAUAUCUCAUCUACGUUCAAGUCAUCCAGAGCUUGUUGCAUUUGUUGAGCGUGCACUUUCAAGAGUUUCACCGGCACAUGCAAGUCAUAGUUCUGUUGCUGAUGGUUAUGCUAAUGAUAUUGAAGCAGAAGCAACCUUGCACUUCCACCAAAUGUUCUCUGGUCAGCUGACUAGUCAUGCAAUGAUUCAAAUGCUUGCUCAUUUCAAAGGAUCAGCAGAUAAUAGGGAACAAGCAAUUUUCCAGUGCAUGAUUGCUAAGCUUUGUAGAGAAUGCAAACUUUAUGCCAUGUACCCAGAAAGGCAGCUGAAAAUUGCUGCUGCUUUCUUAGAGUCACUUACAAAUCAGUUAUAAAUUUGGUUUGUAAAAUUUGUAAUCAAGCUCUGCGAGCUGUCUUGGAUGAAUUGCACGAGGACACAGUUUUUCUUUUUAACUUAAAUGUUAGCUUCGCAUUACUGAUGGCUUCUCUUCAUUCAGAUAUCUGAUGCUGGGUAUCUGCAGACUGCGACUGUCAAGUUUUAGGUGGAUACUUCAAGAUAUUUGAUCCAUCGACGAGUUCCCCAUAUUGUGCAUAUUUCAGUUGCGCUCCUUUGACUGGGUGCAUUGCGAAUUAGUUUUUGGCCCCAGUCUUGAUUCAGCAACUUCUGAUGGUUAUUGAAAUGGAAGCAAAAAUUACAAAUUGUGUUAUUAUCUUUCCUCACAAAUCCUUUCUUCAUUUUCACAAUUGCUUAUAACCUCUUAAGAUCAAAUGAUUGACAUUGGACUUAGCAUAUAUUCAUUGAUGGACCAACGUGGGCACAAUUCAAAAUUAAUGCAAAUUUGUGCUUUUAAUCC
This is an RNA transcript of Capsicum annuum, 2663 nucleotides long. RefSeq lists it as uncharacterized. The transcript is spliced from 8 exons. NCBI's taxonomy places the organism in Eukaryota, Viridiplantae, Streptophyta, Magnoliopsida, Solanales, Solanaceae. The record is from RefSeq and is a predicted model, not a curated record.